CCCGCCUCCGCCUCCGCCUCCACCUCCUUGCUUCGGACGCUGAGCGCUGCCAGCAGCCUUUCCGGUGGCGCUGCGAGGCGCCCUGGCGGGACCGGGCUGGAGCGAAAAGAUCAGAUAUGAGGAUCCAGGUAUUCUACCAGUGGAUAUUUAGUUUUCCUGAUGUGUUGUCACUUCAAGCAAUAUUUAGCUCUAACCAUCUCAAGAGUUGGACUGAAGAAGAAACCUCAUCUAUACAAGAUUCACCUUUUUGAGGCUUUCUGGUACAAAAUUGAAGAUACUAUCCAAUAACAUGUGUUCAUUGACAUGGUUAAAACAGAAAACAGCCAAAGAAAAUAUUUUGAACUCUUUUCUUUUCCUUUUUUUCAUGCACAAUGAUCUGUGUCAGUCAGACAAGCUUUAAUUUACCAUUUACCUGAGAAAACUCCGAGCCUUGCAGUAAAAUCUAAUUUUCCGAGGGUAGGAAGGGUUACUGUUAUUAUUAAAGGCACUGAAACAAACAAACAAUGUCCAUUAUAUGUUGUUUUAUUCAGUAGAAUAAAUUCAGUGAAAUACAACAGAAUUUUUUCUACCAGCAUUAGAAAACAGAAGUAGUAAUGCUGUUAUAAUAUAAACUAUAAAAGGACAAUGGAGAACACAGCUGACAUAGUCCUACAGAUCCUGUUGGACUAAAUUAAGGAUCUUGAAUCAACAAUACUACUUGGGAUUCCUAAAGGUGAUGUGGGGAUCUAUGCAUAUCUCAGGUCCCCAGAAACCUCACCCCUUCUCUAUGACCCUACACCUACUAUAAAGUGGAAAAAGAAGGAGAUCAUCCUCUCUCCAAGGAGAAACAGCAACAGGAGAUUCUGUACAUCCUGGAAUAGAAGCAGAGCCUCUCACCCAUUUGAGAAACACCCUUUGGAGACGAGUAGCAGCAGAUGGAGUCCCCAGUACCUAUUCCAGAGUCAGAGUGGGCCUGCUUGAUAGCUUUGGGUCUGCUGUACUGUGUUUCCUGCCACUGAAUCCUCUGCUAAGUAGUGCUGGUAAGCAAAGAAGUGUCCAGAGCUGCAAGUCUUUGGACAUGGGGCUAGUUAGCAUCUCUCAAACCUAUUGUCCCAAGCUGGUUCAAGUAGACAUACUUUUUACAUUGAUUUUACUUUUGUGACAUUUUCUCUGAUUCUAUGAGGCUAGAAACUUGCUUUUAUACAAUAAAAAAGAAAGGUGAGGAUUAAAUCAAAAGCAUGUAAGUCCUAGCAUAGGACUUCCAUACUUCUGUAUGGGACACAAAACUGGAGCUUGCCUAUGCCUUAACCCAGCCAUGCCCACACAGGAAAAAAAUUCCCAGCAGCAUGAAAAAAAGCAGAAGAUCCACCCUAUAAACUGGAGGAGAGACUUAGCUUAGAUGUCUGUGAGCAAAGACUUGCAGAAUUAGGCUUUUGAUGAGAAACUUACGCGAUAAUACACAAAAUGCUAGGCUUUUGGAAAUGUCAUGGUUUUUUAUAUAAGAAUUGACAUUUAGAGACAAAAGUCAAAACUAAUGUUCCAUUCAAGUCUUACAUCCAAGUAUUCCAUCUAUCCAACUAACGUAACAGAAUUAAUCAAUAAGUGGCAAAUCUAUUAAUAUAUUUUAAUGACAGCAGCGAAUGUCUCUUGCCCUCCAUCCCCCAUUUAUUCUUACACAAGAAAAAGGAAAUGAAAGGAGUCCUUGCUGUUUUAAGAUUAGUUAAUGUUUGGAAAGUACUUAAAAGAUAUUUAUCAGGAAAGGACAAAGAUUCCUUACCCUGGGACUGUGGAGGUUUCCCCAUGCUAAGGUGAGGAAAAAGAAUUAGUGAAGUUAUUCAGAAGUAUACAGCACCUUUGCUGGGCAGAGAGAGAGCACAGCAGAAGAGGGAGUGCAACCAGAUGCCCUCCAGCUCUGUAGGACUUCCAGUCCAUUGCAGUACCCCUUAGAAGCAGGAGCAGAGAGAGCUACCAGUAUUUGAAGGAAGAUCCAUCUUCCCCUGAAUAGUUCCUCAGCCACUCAGUAACUCCAGGGGAGAAUCCUGUCCUUUGUGCAUUUCUCUAAUCACUACUCAAGCUGGGUACUACAUGAGGUUUUUUUCUCAAGAGCUAAAGUAUUAUUAGUAGGCCAG
Long non-coding RNA from Alligator sinensis (Chinese alligator), 2108 nucleotides. RefSeq lists it as uncharacterized. The transcript is spliced from 3 exons. The record is from RefSeq and is a predicted model, not a curated record. NCBI's taxonomy places the organism in Eukaryota, Metazoa, Chordata, Crocodylia, Alligatoridae.